CACCUCAGUAAAAGCGGCGGACUGGUGAGUACGCGUGGGUGAUCUACCUUGACUGACGGGGAUAGCUGUAAGAAAUAGCAGGUAAUACCGGAUAUGGUCACGGGGUUAUGACUCUGUGAAGAAAGGCGCUAUGGCGCCGCCUUGAGAUGAGCCCGCGUCCCAUUAGCUACGUUGGUGUACGUAAAGGUGCACCAAGGCGAAGAUGGGUAGCCGGCCUGAGAGGGUGAACGGCACACUGGGACUGAGAUACGGCCCAGACUCCUACGGGAGGCAGCAGCUACAGAAUAUUCCGCAAUGGACGAAAGUCUGACGGAGCGACGCCGCGUGGAUGAGGAAGGCCGAAAAGGUUGUAAAAUCCUUUUGCAGCACGACAGAAUAAGUAGGGUAGGGAAUGACCUUAUGAUGACCGUUAGUCUGCGAAUAAGACACCCGGCUAAUUAC
RNAcentral lists this ribosomal RNA (441 nucleotides) under uncultured bacterium. RNAcentral's name for it is "bacterial SSU rRNA". It matches the Rfam family "Bacterial small subunit ribosomal RNA", at positions 81 to 504 of the family's 1533-position model. The record is from RNAcentral.